GGAAAUUGAAAUUGUUUACUUCGCCCUCGUCAGCCCGAAGACAAUGCUCGUGUUGGCAGCAUUGCGACACGCUUACCCUAAAGACUCUCGACUAGCGAAAAUGGAGGGAAGCGGAUGGGGGUCGACGAUGUGCCUUUGUCGGAUGUGAAACAGCGAGAGUCGGUCCGCCAAUCGACUCAGGGCAUGGACCGACGCGAAUUGUGAUGGUGGCCCAAGAAGAGGCUGUUGACAUGCUUGUGGAGACGUCAUUAUCACGAUUGUGGUUGGAAGUGCGCGCCAUUUGGUGUACCUCAGCCCUACGUGCUCCGAGCAUCGGCCUGCGGGCUCCUCAUUUGGCCCGUCUUGAAACUUAGACUAAGGAGUUGGACAUGUGUGCGAGUAAGCGGGCAAGUAAACUUGUAAGGCAAAAGGAACCUGAUUGGUGGGAUCUACUUGUGGAUUGCACUGCCGAUCGACCCUGAUCUUCUUUGAAGGGUUCAAGUGAGAGCAUACUUGUUGGGACUCGAAAGACGGUGAACUAUGCCUGAGCGGGGCAAAGCCAGAGGAAUCUUUGGUGGAGGCCCGCAAAUCGUUCGUCUGACUUGGGUAUAGGGGCUAAAGACUAAUCGAACCAUCUAGCAACUAGUUCCCUCCGAAGUUUCCCUUAGGAUAGUUGGAGCCGUGGGAAACUUCUAUUGGGUAAAGCCAAUGAUUAGAGGCAUCAGGGGUGCAACGCCCUCGACCUAUUCUCAAACUUUAAAUAGGUAGAAUGAAAGGAUGAACUAGAAGCUCAGUUACGGUGCCCAACUGUGCGCUAACCUAGACCCCACAAAUGGUGUUGGCCGAUUAAGGGAGAAGGACGGUGGUCUUGGAAGUCGAAAUCCACUAAGGAGUGUGUAACAACUCACCUGCCGAAUCAACUAGCCCAAAAAAUGGAUAGUGCUAAGGCGCGCGAUCUAUACCCAGCCGUCAGGGAAAGGGCCAGGCCCUGAUGAAUAGGAGGGCGCGACGGUUACUGCAUACCCUGGGGCGUGAGCCUAGGAGGAGCAGUUGUGGGUGCAGAUCUUGGUGAUUGUAGCAAAUAUUCUAAUGAGAACUUUGAAGGCCAAAGAGGGGAAAGGUUCCAUGUGAACGACACUUGCACAUGGGUUAGUCAAUCCUAAGGGACGAGAGAAGCCCUUCUGAUAGCACUCUAAGCGCACACUCCGAAAGGGAACCGGGUUAAAAUUUCUAAACCAGGACGUGGCGGUUGACAACAAGGUUAGGGAGUCCAAAGACGUCGGUGGGGCCUCAUAAAGAGUUAUCUUUUCUGUUUAACACCUAGCCCACCCUGGAAACGACUCAGUCGGAUGUAGGGCCCAGCGGCUGGAAGAGCACCACACGUCGCAUGGUGUCCGAUGCGCCCCAGCAGCGCUUGAAAAUCUGGAGGACCGAGUGCCUCCCAUGCUCGAUCAUACUCAUAAUCGCUUCAGGUCUCCAAGGUGAAUAACCUUUGGUCGAUGGAACAAUGUAGGCAAGGGAAGUCAGCAAAAUGGAUCUGUAACCUUGGGAAAAUGGAUGCAUUGGUUGUUGGUGGAUUGCUCGAAGUGCUCUCGCAACGAGAGUUGGUCGCUGUGUGCUGGUCGGGGGACAAAUUGGGAACGGGCCCUUUGGGGCCUCUUCCUUGGGCUUCGAACAGUAGACUCAUGACUGGUACAGACAAGGGGAAUCUGACUGUUUAAUUAAAACAAAGCAUUGUGAUGGUCCCUGUGGAUGUUGACGCAAUUUGAUUUCUACCCCGUGCUCUCUGAAUGUCAAAGUGAAGAAAUUCAACCAAGCGCGGGUAAACGGUGGGAGUAACUGUGACUCUCAUAAGGUAGCCAAAUGCCUUGUCAUCUAAUUAGUAACACACGUGAAUGGAUUAACUAGAUUCCCACUGUCCCUGUCUACUAUCCAGCGUAACCACAACCAAGGGAACAUGCAUGGCAGAUUCAGCGGGGAAAGAAGACCUUUUUGAGCUUGACUCUAGUCCGACUUUGUGAAAUGACGUGAGAGGUUUAGGAUAAGUGGGAGUUGGAAACAACAGAAGUGAAAUACACUACUUUAAACAUUAUUUUACUUAUUCUGUGAAUCAGAGGCGGGGCACAACCCAUUUUUUUGGACCCAAGGCCAGCCUCAGGCGAUCGAUCUAGGCCGAAGACAUUGUUAGGUGGGGAGUUUGGCUGGGGCGGUACACCUGUUAAAAGAUAAUGCAUGUGUUCUAAGAUGGACUCAACGAAAACAAAAAUAUCGUGUGGAACAAAAGGGUAAAAGCUCAAUCGAUUUUGAUUUCCAGUACGAAUAUGAACCGUGAAAGCAUGGCCUAUCGAUCCUUUAGUCCUUCGAAAUUUGAAGCUAGAGGUGUCAUAAAAUUUGCCACAGAGAUAACUGGCUUGUGGUAACCAAGCGUUCAUAGCGACGUUGUUUUUUGACCAAGUGUUGAAUUGUUCACCCACCAAUAGGGAACGUGAGCUGGGUUUAGACCGUUGUGAGACAGGUUAGUUUUAUCUUACUGAUGACAGUGUUUGGCUCGAUGAUCAUGGUCAUCGAACUUUAAUCACGCAACCCUUCCCAUGUUCGCCAUGUUCAUUUCGGCCCCGACGUUAAAUUAUGGUUCUUGUGUUGCCUACCCGUUAAGUGG
Molecule: ribosomal RNA, 2638 nt
Filed under: Lupinus angustifolius (narrow-leaved blue lupine)
Lineage: Eukaryota; Viridiplantae; Streptophyta; Magnoliopsida; Fabales; Fabaceae
Description: eukaryotic LSU rRNA
Rfam family: Eukaryotic large subunit ribosomal RNA
Source: RNAcentral